UCUUGCCAUCAGCUAUUGGCCUUACUUGCACCAGUGGAUCAGGAACAGAAUUGGAGCUAUUUUAUCUGGACCUAAUUAAACAACCGUCAUUACUGGCAGGCAGGAUUUUCAUUUAUAAAUAGAAUUAUGUUCUGAAAAUAAAUUACAGUAAGUGAUGCACGGAACUGGGAGCAACAGCACUUUCAUAGAAUUUCAAGCACCUACAUCAGAAGAGAUUAAUAAAAACACUUCAAAGGCUAAAUUCUAUUUAAGCAGAAGACAGCUUUUGGUUAAUAUUUAAUCUGAGCAACGGCGAUUUCAGUUGAAAAUAUAAUUUUUUAAUAUCUAAAUUAAUUUGCAAAACAAAGCCAUUAAUUUAGCCCGAGAGCUUUCACUGUGCAAAAG
Hemicordylus capensis (graceful crag lizard) is the source of this 384-nucleotide long non-coding RNA. RefSeq lists it as uncharacterized. The record is from RefSeq and is a predicted model, not a curated record. The transcript is spliced from 3 exons. NCBI's taxonomy places the organism in Eukaryota, Metazoa, Chordata, Lepidosauria, Squamata, Cordylidae.